RNAcentral lists this unclassified non-coding RNA (228 nucleotides) under plant metagenome. Its description in RNAcentral is "partial contains small subunit ribosomal RNA, internal transcribed spacer 1, and 5.8S ribosomal RNA". The record is from RNAcentral.
UCUCCGUAGGUGAACCAGCGGAGGGAUCAUUACAGAGUUCCACAACUCCCAACCCCUGCGAACCGUACCCCCGUUUGUUCUCGUUGCCUCCUGGCGGCGGGCCCCCGGCGCCACCGCCGGGGCCCCCGCCAGCGGCGGCGAGCACCCUGACCCUUUUUUUCUCACCCAGCCCGUCUGAGCAACCAAACAAAAGAAUCAAAACUUUCAACAACGGAUCUCUUGGUUCUG